ACUUAGAACAAUGGACGUAAGCAGAUCUCUCCAUCUAACUUGGCCCGUUUCUAGGGUCCCAAUUUAGUUCCAGGUCGUAUUGCCAGACAUACAUUCAUUUUUGACCACCCGAAUCGUAGUAAUUCGGCGCCUUCCAAGUUUUCAAUGGCUUUGCGAGAUUUUAAUCGAAAGCUUACCUCCCAAUAUCAUCAAUGGUCCUCACACCAAUGACGCAUAGCGCCAUUUCGUGUGAAAAUUUGCAUUUGCAAAGAACUUAAAAUGCUUAUAUCUUCUUAACUGGAUGUCUGGUGGAAAAAAAGUAUAUUUAUGAUUGCCUGUUA
Long non-coding RNA from Stomoxys calcitrans (stable fly), 320 nucleotides. RefSeq lists it as uncharacterized. NCBI's taxonomy places the organism in Eukaryota, Metazoa, Arthropoda, Insecta, Diptera, Muscidae. The transcript is spliced from 2 exons. The record is from RefSeq and is a predicted model, not a curated record.